UGGCAUACAUUGGUGAAUGUCAUUUUUCAUCUUGGUUACUUAUUGCUCUCAUCAGUUUUGACAUGGAGAUGUUGAGAACAUACUGUACAUGAGGUGCAAAUGGCAAAGUCCAGCAGCAGAAACACAAUGUUAUCACCUGUGGAACAAGCUGCUGCAUUUGCCAGUGAUGUUUGGAUGCAGAGCCUUAGGAAGCGGAUGAACCUUUGCAUCAGGUGAUCAAAGGAUGCAGAUCAAGUACAGCACCUCCGAAAAGCUCUGAUUGGUGGGGUCAUGAACUGUGUGCCUCGAGGAGAUCCCCUUAAAGGCUACCUCGCUUCUGGCGGGGGUUACAGUCGGGACAAAGGAAGCCUUUGAGAGACAGAACUGGGUUUUAUUAAAAUGUUAACUGGGUGUGCUUUCUCGUUCACAGUACCCAUUGUACGGCGCUGUUCACGGCGUGUCUUGUUACAGACUGUUCAAUCAGCUCUGACAUGACCAAUUUGAGUUUUUCCCUUGCCGCCAACACUUUGACACAUUGUUCUUGUUCCUGUACCCAUGGUGUGUCUUAUUUGCUGCUUAUACAGUAGGUAUCAGCUAGGCUUGAAGUGCUGUGAGUGGAAGGAACCCGUCUGCAGAUUGUCUGUUCCAUGUCAGCCGCAUGAAGCAGCCUUCUGUCCCAGUCAGUGCAGGAACUGUGGCCAAGCAGUAUGUGUGCUGUUUCCCCUGGGGAUCUAACAUAUUAGGUCUUUCUCAUGUGCAUCAAACGAAGACAGCGCAGGCACAUUCAGGACCCUGCAAGCCAGAGGUUAACAUGGAACAAACCCCCUAAAAGUGUCCUUGUCAUAAAGAAGAUCAGAGAUGCUGGUUUACUGAGACCCUUCAAAGAGCUCUGUAUCUUUUUGACCGAGGUCAAAGGCAUGAUUGUGUAUGUGGAAAAGAAAGUUCUGGAAGACCCGGCCAUUGCAGCUGAUGAGAGCUUUGUGGCUGUGAAAAAGAAGUUCUGCACCUUCCAAGACGAUCUGGAUGACAUUUCUGACUCUGUGGACUUCAUCAUCUGCCUUGGGGGAGAUGGGACCUUACUAUAUGCCUCUUCUCUCUUCCAGGAAAGCGUCCCACCUGUCAUGGCCUUCCACCUGGGCUCCUUGGGCUUCUUGACACCCUUCAGCUUUGACACUUACCAGUCUCAGGUGACGCAGGUUAUUGAAGGUAAUGCAGCCAUCGUACUCAGAAGCAGGCUGCUGGUGAGGGUUUCACGGGAAAGCACGGAGAAGAAGGUUCAGGGCCCAGUGGAUGAGACAGGCCUGAUCAUCACCAAUGGCGAGAACAAUGCUAGUCACAGGACCAUGCAGUAUCAGGUGCUCAACGAGGUAGUAGUGGACAGGGGUCCCUCCUCCUACCUCUCCAAUGUUGACCUGUUCCUCGAUGGUCACCAGAUCACCACAGUGCAGGGAGAUGGUGUCAUUGUGUCCACACCCACGGGGAGCACAGCCUACGCAGUGGCAGCAGGAGCCUCCAUGAUCCACCCCAAUGUCCCUGCCAUCUUGAUCACCCCUAUUUGCCCACAUUCUUUAUCCUUCCGCCCCAUCGUAGUGCCUGCAGGGGUGGAACUCACGAUCAAGCUCUCCCCUGACGCUCGCAACACAGCCUGGGUUUCCUUCGAUGGAAGAAAACGACAGGAAAUCAGUCAUGGAGACAGCAUUACCAUCACUACCUCCUGCUUCCCCGUUCCCUCGAUCUGCUUCCGGGAUCCUGUCAACGACUGGUUCGAGAGCCUCGCUCAAUGUUUACACUGGAACGUCAGGAAAAAGCAAAACCACCUGAGCUCCGAGGAGGAAGAGGAGUUCUGAGGAAGGUGGCGGCGGACUUCUUUUGCACUUUGUAUGACUCUCAGCAGAUUCAGCUGGAGUUCUGGAUGAACCAUUUAGGACUUAGCCCAGUGAUGGUGUGGAAGCACAAAGCUAUUGUGCAGACAGUUUCCUGUUGCAGUGGUGCUGGUUUGGGGAUAGUUCAGAAAGCAGGGCUCCCUUUGGCAAUAAAAAGAAAAAAUAGGUAGUGCCUUAAAAUAGUGUUAACACAUGUAAAUGACCCGUUUUAUAGUUGUACCACUUUGAAAUGUUAAAAUAGGUCAGCCUAGCAAAGCUAAAUCUGUCUAGAGCAGCUUUUUUAGAGGUUAUGGAGAAGUAUUUUAAGAAGCAUGGGAAUAUUUUUCAUUUGAACGGAUGAUCUGGCAAACCUUUCUGACCAACCAGCAUUCUUCGGUACGAGCAAAAAUUCCAUCGUCUGUCUGCAUCUUUAACUGAAACUGUUAAUUUCACUGAUUAGUUCCAUGAACCAACAUAUCUUAAUUUGUACGUUGUGCAAUUUGUUGCGACCAUCGCUGUUUUGAGUAGCAUUUUGCGGUAGCCAUGACCAGAGCACCAGUUCUCGACUUGCUCCUAUGUGCAACUAACGUGUGCCAUUUUGUGUUGGAAUGUUAUUUAAUCUUGUUUCCUCCCAUCGCAUUGUGGCAGCGUUUGGAAAAAUUAACAUACGAAAGCUUGUCCUGUCCUGCAUCUGAUGCUCCCAGUGGUCCAUACUUCUCUCCAAGUGUCCUUCCUUGCUGGUGGCAGGAGUGCAGGCUUCUCUCCACGUGUGUAGCACCUCGAGGCUGGUCACUUACUGGGGACAGGCUGCCGGACUGUCUUACAGAAGAACUUAACAGAACCGCUCUUAACUGGGCGUAACCCUUUUUUCAGGUUUUGUAAUAUGUUCAUCUGCUUCAUUGUCAUCGUUUUGUAUAUCACAGCUGUGGAUAAAUGAUCAAACACAUUGACUUGAUUGUUCCAAUGGGAAAAUCUAUGGUAUAAGCCAUUUAACUGUAAAUCCAAGGGAGGGGAGGUAUUCCUAUCGCCUGCCUCAAGCCAGAAAACUGGGUCCAAACCCAACAAACAGCAGUGACGCAGAGCCUGCAAGAAUGGGCUUAAUAGAAACACCUAUAAGCUUGUGUGAAUGCAGGUUUUUUUUUUUUUUCCCUCCUUCAAUACCUGAAUUUCCUUUUUGGUGGGGCUUUCUUUGGGGGAUUUUUAGGCACUUUUUGGUUGACUAUGUUUUGGUCAAUGUUUGUUGUGCUGCUCUUGAAGGCAGCACCUGUGGCCACGGGUGCAAAUACAAGGCUGUCACUUUCAAUGGGCCUGUGUGUGUGUGUGUGUGUGUGUGUGUGUGUGUGUGUGUGUGUGUGUGUGUGUGUGUGUGUAAUAUGUGAUUUUUUAAAUUAAAUCAAGCUCAUGUAUUUAUGCAUGUUAAUGAAGCAGGACAGGUUUAAAACAGGACUAAAUAAAGGACCUAGUAGAAAGCUAUCAGUUACAACCACCGGUUAAGAAGCAUCCCCCACAUUCCAGCUUAAUGUGUGAUCCUCACACUGUUAAGAUUACUGUAUCUGUACAUGGAACAUGUGAUCACACAACUUAUUUUUUUAACCACUUGUGUCCUGUCACAGUAUUUACUGUACAUUAGAUGAUCACGCCUCCAAAUCUGUGGAUAGAGAUUUUCCUGUAUACAAUAUGUAGCGUAUGUAUGUAUGGAUGUAAGGUAUGCAUACAUGUGGUAAUAUGUCGGUGGUGGCAGUGUAUGCAAGUAUGGUUUCUGCCACCUUUGCAAGUGUGUGUACGUGUGUGUUUAAAAAAAAAUGUGUAAAUAACAUUUCCAACUUCCUUCUUCCAAUACUACACUUUUAUUCUCCCGGUGAGCUGCUAAUCACUAGCCGCUUGCUCCCUUUGACCGCCAGCAGAGCGGUGCACCUCAAGAUGUGGUAACCAUGGCAAUGAGCCAUGGCAUACUUUCGGCACACGUACAUGCAGAUGCACACACACGUAUAUUCUGCACGCGUAUGCCUUUUUGGAGAACGUGGGUCGACACAGCGAGGGUGAUGGCGUGUAAGAGCGGGGGCUACAGGAAUAAGAGGACCGCAGGUGGUUUUCCUCAUUCGACUCGCACGUUCAUCACUGUAGGCGGGUCGCCUCUUUUUCCACAAGUUGUGGUUUUUCCCUCACUGUGGUGUUAAACUGACGAUCGAGAGGCACGUGGACCGUCUGAAGAGGGAGCAGGACCUCCUGAAGGUGACCCCAACGUGGACUGCAUGUAAACCUGAGCAGCAUACCAGCCUUGAGCACAUAAUGCUGAUCAGGUGUGUGUGUAUGUUUGUGGAUACUGUAACCACUAUCUUCCAGCACACAGCACUGGCCUCUGAAAUCCCCGUGUUUUUCCAGCACAAACUUUGCGAGACUGCUGUAGAUAUUUAUUCCGCGUGGAGGAGGACCUCUAGAUGUGAACUGUGCAACAUCAUAAUGACAAGUGUGUUUGGUUCUUACCUCAGCGUGAACUCAUACGAAGCCUUAGGCUAAGACCACUGAACUUUACCCUAAACCUGAGGAUGGAGUCGUGGUUAUUGCGGGCACAUUCCGAAAACACGAGUGCAUUUUGUGUUUACCAUGUUUUAUUGACAGUUUUAACACUGUGAGAAUUUUUAU
RNA transcript from Scleropages formosus (Asian bonytongue), 4484 nucleotides. It is a transcript of the gene named NAD kinase a, with no coding region annotated. Lineage: Eukaryota; Metazoa; Chordata; Actinopteri; Osteoglossiformes; Osteoglossidae. The transcript has 11 exons. The record is from RefSeq and is a predicted model, not a curated record.